CAAUAGCGUAUAUUAAAGCUGUUGCGGUUAAAAAGCUCGUAGUUGGAUUUCUGUCAAGGACGACUGGUCCGCCCUCCGGGUGAGCACAUAGUUUGGUCUUGGCAUCUUGCUGGAAGCUGUGCUGUGCUUGGCUGUACGGUACAGGGUCCAGCACUUUCACUUUGAGGAAAUUGGAGUGUUUCAAGCAGGCACAUGCCUUUGGACACAGUAGCAUGGAAUAAUUUGAUUGGGCUUUUGCUCCAAUUUGUCGGUUUCUGGAGCUGAGGUGAGAAUUAAUGGGGAUUGUUGGGGGCAUCCGAAUUUAGCCGUCAGAGGUGAAAUUCUUGGAUCUGCUAAAGACGGACAACUGCGAAAGCGUUUGCCCAGGAUGUUUUCAUUGA
This 380-nucleotide ribosomal RNA is filed under the name uncultured eukaryote. RNAcentral's name for it is "partial 18S ribosomal RNA". It matches the Rfam family "Eukaryotic small subunit ribosomal RNA", at positions 592 to 976 of the family's 1831-position model. The record is from RNAcentral.